RNAcentral lists this ribosomal RNA (497 nucleotides) under uncultured bacterium. RNAcentral's name for it is "partial 16S ribosomal RNA". It matches the Rfam family "Bacterial small subunit ribosomal RNA", at positions 28 to 507 of the family's 1533-position model. The record is from RNAcentral.
GAUGAACGCUGGCGGCGUGCCUAAUACAUGCAAGUCGAGCGAACAGAUAAGGAGCUUGCUCCUUUGACGUUAGCGGCGGACGGGUGAGUAACAUGUGGGUAACCUACCUAUAAGACUGGAAUAACUCCGGGAAACCGGGGCUAAUGCCGGAUAACAUUUAGAACCGCAUGGUUCUAAAGUGAAAGAUGGUUUUGCUAUCACUUAUAGAUGGACCCGCGCCGUAUUAGCUAGUUGGUAAGGUAACGGCUUACCAAGGCAACGAUACGUAGCCGACCUGAGAGGGUGAUCGGCCACACUGGAACUGAGACACGGUCCAGACUCCUACGGGAGGCAGCAGUAGGGAAUCUUCCGCAAUGGGCGAAAGCCUGACGGAGCAACGCCGCGUGAGUGAUGAAGGUCUUCGGAUCGUAAAACUCUGUUAUUAGGGAAGAACAAAUGUGUAAGUAACUGUGCACGUCUUGACGGUACCUAAUCAGAAAGCCACGGCUAACUACGUG